GGUGGGUCCCAAAGCGCCUGCCACUAGGGAUAUCCCUUGUGGCAGGGUCAACAGACGAUCCGCUUCCACGCCGGCCUUGCUCUCUCGUUCGACCUUCGAAGGGCCGCGUCUCUCUCCAGCUUCUCUCUUCCUGGGACUGAUUGCAGUUGAGAUCGUUAUAGGGUUCCUCUCCUCUCCAGAGACCUAGGGUUUCUUCGAGCUUGCUGCUGCUGAUUUUGGCGAUGGAUAUCAUCGGGAUGAAGGGGAGUGCAUUGGUGCUCACAGAUGAUGUGAUUUUGCCUGUAGGUGCAGUUCUGUCUGCAGUGAGGGAGGUUGGAAAUGAAUCAGUUGGAGAUAAUGAAAUGCUAGUCGUCACACAAGCUUCUGUUUUAUGAGAGUUGCCAUUUGAGUCUUCAUCACUGAAUAUCACUGUUGCCAUAUCAAAAACCCCAGAACUUCUCAGCCAGCAGUGGCUUGAAGAGAUUGCUAGGGUGUUGAAACCUGGUGGGAUGAUCCUCCUGCAGACACCUCUGUCUAAUAAGCCCACGGAUGAGCCAAGCUUCACACAUGAGCGCAAGCUACUCUUGACAGGAUUUGUAGAGGCACAAGUUCUCCAAGUGAAACCAUUUGUACCGCUGGUUGACACCAAAUCUUUUACUAUUAGGGCCAAGAAGCCUUCUUGGGAGAUGGGAUCAUCUUUUUCCAUUAAGACAACAGCUAAUAGUUUGCCCAAAGUUCAGAUUGAUGAUGAUUCAGAUCUGAUUGAUGAAGAUAGUUUCCCAAGUGACGAAGACUUGAAGAAACCCCAACUGCCACUUGUGGGUGAUUGUGAAGUUGGAGGCAAAAGGAAAGCAUGCAAAAACUGCACCUGUGGUCUUGCUGAGGCAGUGGAGAAAGUGCAGAAGCUUGGGCUGAUUGCAGAGCAGCUGAAUAAUCCUCAAUCCGCAUGCGGCAAUUGUGGACUUGGUGAUGCAUUCCGGUGUAGUGGAUGCCCUUACAAGGGUCUCCCCCUAUUCAAACUAGGUGAAAAGGUAUCACUACCCGGAAACUUCCUUGCAGCUGAUAUAUAAAUGGUGAGUUGAGCCUCAUGGACAUGGAUAUUAUUUAACUCGAACCAUGCUCGAGAGACUGGGAAACCAGCUUUUCAAAUGUGAUGGGCUGUUGAUGAAGAAACAGGAGCUUGGGUUUGAGAAACCAUGCUUUGAAAACAAACCAGACAUAGGUUCCAAAACAAGUAGGGUGAAUGCAGUUGGAAUUACAUGUUAUACUGUGGUAUUGGUGAGAUUUAGAAGUGUUACAAACAGGGUUGACUGCAAUAGGAAAUUGCAUGCUUAUACUGUGGCAUCUGUGAGAUUUAGGGGGGCUGGUACUUUGGGUUGUCAGUACCCCUUGCACUGGCUGUUGCUUGUGUUUAUUGAGAUUUGAGAAAUCAGAGGCUGUGUUGGUUGUGUUUA
RNA transcript from Magnolia sinica, 1433 nucleotides. It is a transcript of the gene named anamorsin homolog, with no coding region annotated. NCBI's taxonomy places the organism in Eukaryota, Viridiplantae, Streptophyta, Magnoliopsida, Magnoliales, Magnoliaceae. The transcript has 9 exons. The record is from RefSeq and is a predicted model, not a curated record.